This 869-nucleotide small RNA is filed under the name Pongo abelii (Sumatran orangutan). RNAcentral's name for it is "retained intron". The record is from RNAcentral. Lineage: Eukaryota; Metazoa; Chordata; Mammalia; Primates; Hominidae.
GCUGACCUCAGUGACAGAUGAGCUGGCUGUGGCCACCGAGAUGGUGUUCAGGCGGCAGGAGAUGGUUACGCAGCUGCAACAGGAGCUCCGGAAAGAAGAGGAGAACACCCACCCCCGGGGGCGGGUGCAGCUGCUGGGCAAGAGGCAGGUGCUGCAAGAAGCACUGCAGGGGCUGCAGGUAGCGCUCUGCGGCCAGGCCAAGCUGCAGGCCCAGCAGGAGUUGCUGCAGACCAAGCUGGAGCAGCUGGGCCCCGGUGAGCCCCCGCCUGUGCUGCUCCUGCAGGAUGACCGCCACUCCACGUCGUCCUCGGAGCAGGAGCGAGAGGGGGGAAGGACGCCCACGCUGGAGAUCCUUAAGAGCCACAUCUCAGGAAUCUUCCGCCCCAAGUUCUCGAACCUGUACCGCCUGGAAGGGGAAGGCUUUCCCAGCAUUCCUUUGCUCAUCGACCACCUACUGAGCACCCAGCAGCCCCUCACCAAGAAGAGUGGUGUCGUCCUGCACAGGGCUGUGCCCAAGGACAAGUGGGUGCUGAACCAUGAGGACCUGGUGUUGGGUGAGCAGAUUGGACGGGUGAGUGCGCCUCUGCUGGCCUCCUUGUUGCUGGCGGCUUCUCCCGAGUCGCGCCUAGGCCUCCUGCCCUACCACCCAGAGACCUCCCUGCCCCAUCUGAUUCCCCACUUGUACCCCGACUCCCUGCCCAGCCCCCACCACACACCGUCCUCCAGGAAACGGGACAGUACCUACCCUGAAAACUCCCAGCAGACAGCUCUGCCGGCACCCUGACCUCAUCACCCCCACCCAGGCCGCCCCCGUCGAGCUCUUGUGUGCACGCAGGGAGACACCCUGUUACUGUAAGCCAUAAGAUACC